Molecule: ribosomal RNA, 253 nt
Filed under: uncultured bacterium
Lineage: Bacteria
Description: partial 16S ribosomal RNA
Rfam family: Bacterial small subunit ribosomal RNA
Source: RNAcentral
UACGUAGGGGGCUAGCGUUGUCCGGAAUCAUUGGGCGUAAAGAGCGUGUAGGCGGCCCGGUAAGUCCGCUGUAAAAGUCAAAGGCUCAACCUUUGAAUGUCAGUGGAUACUGCCGGGCUAGAGUCCGGAAGAGGCGAGUGGAACUCCUGGUGGAGCGGUGGAAUGCGCAGAUAUCAGGAAGAACACCAACGGCGAAGGCAGCUCGCUGGGACGGUACUGACGCUGAGACGCGAAAGCGUGGGGAGCGAACAGG